This 537-nucleotide ribosomal RNA is filed under the name Triticum aestivum (bread wheat). Its description in RNAcentral is "partial small subunit ribosomal RNA". Lineage: Eukaryota; Viridiplantae; Streptophyta; Magnoliopsida; Poales; Poaceae. The record is from RNAcentral.
CCAUUAUCCAGCUCAGAAAAAUUGUCUCUUGCAGAAGGUAAAAUUUUGAGUCAGGAAGAUAGCACAAAAUAUAGAAGUCUCGUAGGAGCUCUUCAAUAUCUCACUCUUACCAGACCAGAUUUAUCUUUUGCUGUCAACAAAAUCUGCCAGUUUUUGCAUGCACCUACUGAUGUUCACUUGACAGCUGCCAAGCGUAUAGUCAGAUAUGUUAAACAUACUCUCAAUAUAGGUCUAAAUUUCAGCAAGUCAUCUUCUACUCUUGUCAGUGCCUUUUCUGAUUCAGAUUGGGCAGGAUGCCUUGAUGACAGACGCUCAACAGGUGGUUUUGCAGUCUUUUUUGGACCUAACUUAAUAUCAUGGUGUGCACGCAAACAGGCUACUGUAUCCAGGUCAAGCACUGAGGCAAAGUACAAGGCAUUAGCAAAUGCUACAGCUGAAAUCAUAUGGGUUCAGUCUAUGUUGAAAGAGCUUGGAGUAAAGAGCAAGCAAGCUCCAUGUCUGUGGUGUGACAAUCUUGGAGCCACUUAUCUUUCUGCU